RNAcentral lists this ribosomal RNA (449 nucleotides) under uncultured bacterium. Its description in RNAcentral is "bacterial SSU rRNA". It matches the Rfam family "Bacterial small subunit ribosomal RNA", at positions 354 to 796 of the family's 1533-position model. The record is from RNAcentral.
GCUAAGAAUCUUCCACAAUGGACGAAAGUCUGAUGGAGCGACGCCGCGUGAACGAUGAAGGCCGUAAGGUUGUAAAGUUCUUUUUGGAAGGAAGAAUAAGCUUGGCAGGGAAUGGCCGAGUGAUGACGUGAAUUCCAGAAUAAGCCCCGGCUAACUACGUGCCAGCAGCCGCGGUAACACGUAGGGGGCGAGCGUUGUUCGGAAUUAUUGGGCGUAAAGGGCACGCAGGCGGCUUGGCAAGUCUGAUGUAAAAAUUCAGGGCUCAACCCUGUCUGGCGUUGGAAACUGCUGAGCUUGAGUACAGGAGGGGAUAUUGGAAUUCCAGGUGUAGGGGUGAAAUCUGUAGAUAUCUGGAAGAACACCGAUGGCGAAGGCAAAUAUCUGGCCAUGUACUGACGCUGAGGUGCGAAGGUGCGGGGAGCAAACAGGUUUAGAAACCCUAGUAGUCC